Helianthus annuus (common sunflower) is the source of this 1021-nucleotide long non-coding RNA. RefSeq lists it as uncharacterized. The record is from RefSeq and is a predicted model, not a curated record. The transcript is spliced from 2 exons. Lineage: Eukaryota; Viridiplantae; Streptophyta; Magnoliopsida; Asterales; Asteraceae.
CUUCAUUUGUGAAACCCUACUCCCAAACACACCAGCCGCUACAUCUAUGUUCCCUCUCAUCUACUGUCUACAACUAAAGAUUUAACUCACACAUACACUCGCAAGCCCCCCCCCCCCCCCCCCCCCCCCCGGUUGUUAAAUGUUGAACGAUCGGCCAUCACCAGAUGUUGGUUGACAUCGGACCGAGAUGGCAGACAGGAGAGAAAGAAAGGACGACGAGAAUGGGAGCGCCGCCGCCGCUCACGGCGGUGGCAGGGGUGACGACGGUGGUGUGAUGGUCCGAGGAGUCUCACGUCGGGGUUCGGUUCAGCGGUAGAGUUGGUGGUGGCGGUCGUGACGGGGUGGCAACGUUGGGGUUUUGACAGCAGAACCCUGGUAGGUUUUAGUCCCCGAGUUCUUCAACUCAGAUCCGUUUGGAUCCUCUUCUUCAUGGAUCCUUGUUUGUUUUUUUUUUUUAAAUAAAGGUAUCGAUGAUGACCGAUGAUGAACGUUGAUGAUGACGGCAGCGGCGGUCAGUUGUGGUGAAGAUACGGUUCUAAUUUUGGCUCAGGUUCGAGUCAACUUAGUCGGAUACUUAAACUCGAGUUAACUCAGUCAAACUCGGGUCAACACAGUCAAAGAAGGGUCUCGUUUUGGGGUUCUAUCAGGAUCAGUCAACAGUAGACAAACAAUCAACUGCGGUUUGGUCAAACAUCAAAUUCGGGGCAGAUUUAUUCGGGUUUCGGGUUAAACCCGGUUGGCUCGGUCAACACCCGAGUCAACUCGGGUCAACAGUGGUCAACGGACGGUCAACAGUCAAUGGUCAACUGCCUGGUCAAAACCAGUCAAUGCGUGACCCGGUAAAGUUAUAACGACAUGAAAUUUAGUUUGGUUCAAUAUAGAUUUUAUAUUUUUACGCGACCGAGCUUGAACCGAAUGCAUUUAGUGAACGAUUUUCAUUUUUGACAUACUUGACGAACAUUUUUAUACAUAAUGUUUACAUUGUUGAUUGAAUUUUGAAAAUAUAUCGACACGUUAGUCG